GCGAACGUAGCUCAGUUGGAUAGAGCGAGGCACUCCUAACGCCUAGGUCGUGGGUUCGAUUCCCUCCGUUCGCGCCA
RNAcentral lists this transfer RNA (77 nucleotides) under Candidatus Dojkabacteria bacterium. Its description in RNAcentral is "tRNA-Arg". It matches the Rfam family "tRNA". Rfam says of the family: Transfer RNA (tRNA) molecules are approximately 80 nucleotides in length. Their secondary structure includes four short double-helical elements and three loops (D, anti-codon, and T loops). Further hydrogen bonds mediate the characteristic L-shaped molecular structure. tRNAs have two regions of fundamental functional importance: the anti-codon, which is responsible for specific mRNA codon recognition, and the 3' end, to which the tRNAs corresponding amino acid is attached (by aminoacyl-tRNA synthetases). tRNAs cope with the degeneracy of the genetic code in two manners: having more than one tRNA (with a specific anti-codon) for a particular amino acid; and 'wobble' base-pairing, i.e. permitting non-standard base-pairing at the 3rd anti-codon position. The record is from RNAcentral.